UACGGAGGGUGCAAGCGUUAUCCGGAUUCACUGGGUUUAAAGGGUGCGUAGGCGGAUUGGGAAGUCCGUGGUGAAAUCUCCGAGCUUAACUCGGAAACUGCCGUGGAUACUAUCAGUCUUGAAUGUUGUGGAGGUUUGCGGAAUAUGUCAUGUAGCGGUGAAAUGCUUAGAUAUGACAUAGAACACCGAUUGCGAAGGCAGCAGGCUACACAAAUAUUGACGCUGAGGCACGAAAGCGUGGGGAUCAAACAGG
Molecule: unclassified non-coding RNA, 253 nt
Filed under: uncultured Chitinophagaceae bacterium
Lineage: Bacteria; Pseudomonadati; Bacteroidota; Chitinophagia; Chitinophagales; Chitinophagaceae
Description: contains 16S-23S intergenic spacer region
Rfam family: Bacterial small subunit ribosomal RNA
Source: RNAcentral